GUCUUAUCCUUUCGCUUUUUAUCUGUUUUUUGCUGUUUAUGUUGUUGAACACUUCUUAUUUUGUUUCUCAAAGCUAUCAGGACUAUUUCGAUUGAAACGGGUUGUCUUGAACAAAAUCUAGAGUCCUGAUACAUCGUUUAGAUAGCUUGAUCACUUAGAUGAAGUUUGAGUUUGGCUAUAUUGCUGGUGCAAAAGGGUUUCUAGUCUCUGUAACCUGAUGUUAAUCUAUUCAUGGCAAAUUUGGCGCAACGAAAAAUAUUGAGAUGCUGAGUUCCAAGGAACAAAGUCAAGUUUAAUAAAUUGGAAUAAUUUAGCUAGCUACUUAUCCUCUUAUAUUCAUGUCAGGAUUAAACUGCUCAAGAUUGAAAUCUGCAUUUCAUUCCUUUAAAAAUUAAGUGCUCAUUUAUGUUGUUAUCUUUUUAGAAUUGAAUGUUAGUAUUUCUUUUUUACUCUGUUGGUGCCUGAUGGUAGCUACUUUUUUGCUCAAAGGACACUCUAUGAAUAGCAGGGUCAUCACACAUAUUGAGGAACCUCUUCUAUUUCUCCUAAGAAUAUGCAAUGGGGAUGCAACUCCCAAGGUUAGGUCUUAACAUGGCCUAGUUCAAGACCUCCUUCACAGUUGCACUAGAAAAAGUAGUUUUGAGUCUAGUUUGAGAGUCUACUCUCAGAUUGGUAAAUCGUGGAGGGACAUAUGAGGUUGACAGCAAUACAUCUUCUUGAGGCUUGAAGUUCUCCAAGAAGCUCCAAUUGAAAAUCAUUCUGGCUGGCUGCUGGGGUUCUCAUGCAUGAGAAAUUGUGAAUCUUCCACCCAUGGUGUGCAAGGUAAAUCACAGAGCUAUGGAUAAGCAAUACAUGGGAAAGCUACUGGUUGGAUUAAGUUGUGAUAUGUCCUUGCUCCCAUAAUCAUGCAUUUACUUCCUAAAUCUAUAACUUCCACUUUUCUGGAGCCUAUUUACUAUUGCACCAAGUAGAAACCAAAUUUGUUUCCAUUUAGAUGACAAUUGCUGCGGAUGAGGCUUGUCAGCCUUUUUAAAGAAACAUAGCCUGGUCGAAUUGAGAAUCUUUCAUCUGUUGAAGGGUUCUAAGUUGGAAAAUGCAAAAAGCUUGAGUAGUAAUCCUCCCACCAAUCCAUCAGAAGUUUGGAUAUAGGAUGUGUAUCUUGUGAUUUAUAG
Molecule: long non-coding RNA, 1172 nt
Organism: Coffea eugenioides
Lineage: Eukaryota; Viridiplantae; Streptophyta; Magnoliopsida; Gentianales; Rubiaceae
Exons: 3
Source: RefSeq, a predicted model, not a curated record